Heterocephalus glaber (naked mole-rat) is the source of this 3281-nucleotide long non-coding RNA. Lineage: Eukaryota; Metazoa; Chordata; Mammalia; Rodentia; Bathyergidae. The record is from Ensembl.
AACUGAAGAAUGAAUUCUAAGGAACAACAGAGGUUAAGAAUAGGGAAGAUUGGGCCGGGGAUUUAGCUCAGUGGUUUCGUCGCCUGCUGCACAAGCGCAAGGACCUGAGUUCGAUCCCCAGUACCAAAAAAAAAAAAAAUAGGGAAGAUUUAUUGAGAGGUAGCUGCUGAGAGACAGGAAGGGGCCUGAAAGUGGCUGCCACUGAGGCCAUUUCUCCAACAGUGUAUUAUAGAGUAAAAUUCUGAGGUGAGUACAACGUGGGUCACACUGUAAUCAGUCAGUAAGAUUACAAGUAUAGCCGAUUAGCUAAUAUUGAUCUGAAAGAGAAGCGGGUCUCAUAGCAGGGGUACAUGGAAAGAACAAAGGCAUUUUUGGGAAGGGAUGGCCCAGAUGCUCGGAUCACCCAGCUGGGCGACUGAUGUCUAUCUGGACUUUACUGGACCAGAUGACACCAAUUAUAGUGCAACUCCUAGUUGCUGUUGGGAGGCAUACAGGCCUGGUCACUGCAUCUUUAUCUUGUGCCUUGGCCUUCUUCAGAUGCACCUCCAGCCACAGUUCUGAUGUCUUUAUUUUUUCUGCUCUCUUCCUUGACAGCCCAGCCCCUCUCUGACUGUAUAUUCAUUUCCAUCUAACUUAGCUGCCUGCAGUAGGAGGCCACCUUAGGUCUUCUCCCAUCUCUUACACACCUGCUCAGUGGCUCUGGUCCAUUUGGUCAUCAGGCAGAUGUGUCCCGGGUCCUUUUACCUGCUGGGCCUGGUGCCCAAGCCUUGUGAUGGAGCCCCAGCCCGCCCAGGGGGUGAGGAAGGCUGUUGCAGGGUGGAGUCCCAGGAAAGCUCCCGGAGGUCUUGGUUUUCUUCUGCUUUCUCACUGUUGGGCCGUCAAGGGGCCUGGAGAGGAGGGGAGCGGUUUGGAACUUGAGAGGGGCUUGCUCCCCUAGAAGGCUGCCGCUCUGCUCCUUAACUUUCCUAGAGGUCACCCCUCCACUUCCCUCCUCUUCCUGCCCCUCCUCUCCAGGUGAGCCUUCAGGCGGCUCUCCUGAUUGAGCUUCUGUUUGCCAGCUACACAGAGUGCUCCGGGGGCACCGGGCAGGAGGAUUUGAGUAGGGAGAGUUAGACCCUGUCCCCUGGCCCUUGCUUCUGCUCCAGAAGUCAGAGGAGGGGAGCUCCCCAGAUCUGGCAUGGAGGAGUGGCCACUGGGAUCUGUCACUCUCAAGCGUGGAUGAGAAGUGCACCUUGGGGCUUAGGACCAGCCGAGUCAGGGAAAGUGGCACCGAACCACUUCUUGUUCCAGGGCCUCCCUGAGUCUGGGGACCAGGCCCUGGAGGGAAGGGCUGGUGGCUGGAGUUGGCAUCAUGGGAGUCCAACCCCACCCUGGGCACCUGGAAUGGGCAGUGGGGGAGACUGAGGCAUGGGGGAUAAGACAGUGGGGCUUAGGAGGACGGGGAACUCCUCAGGUUGGGCUGGGCUGGGAAUGCUAAAAGGUAGGGGUGGCAAGAGUGCUUGGACCCCCAGGACAGAGUGGACUGGAAAAGAGGGGGAGUACGGGCUCCACAACCUAAGAACAGAGGGGCGGUGGGCGGGCGAGCGAGCGAGCGGGCUGCUUCCUUCCCAACUCCUUAACUCCUUUCAAUGAAUACUUCCUUGGCCCAGCCCCCAGUUACCUGGCUGAGGGCCUCCCGGACCGGGGAGGCUGCUCCACAGUUCCGGGGUUGUGGGAGGAUGGGGAAAUUCCUCUCCCCGCCUUAGAAGGUCUUGCUCCUGCUAGAGAGAACUGAGGAGCCUGGGGAAGGCAGGUGCCAUGACUGAUGGACGCUGGAGAGCUGCAAUUAAUUUUAAACAAGGUUGCCUGGACUUGGAGAACAAGGGCAGGUCAUGGGUGAGGCUGGGCUGCCAAAGUCUCUGUUUGCCCAGGGAGGACCUGGUCCCUUGAGUACUCACAGCAGGGCCCCUGGGCUGAGUGCUCCUUGGAAAGAUAAAGAAGUGCAGGUGCCUGCCUCUGCUUGAGAUGCUUCGGUUGGCCUCGGAUGAGUGAGGGGUGGUGUCGAGGGGCACCAGAGCCAGCCCUUGGCCUCUGUGGUCCGUGCAGAGGACCAGCUGGUGUUCGGCAUGCCUGGGAUGAGGGGGAGGAAGAGGAAGGCUCCGCAGCUCUGAGUGGUGCGAAGUUCUGUCCUCCGCUGUCCCUCCUCUUUUUCCUCUACCUCCUCCCCUCCUCCUUCGCUCCUCCUCUUCUCCUCUACUUUAUUUUAGUUUUGGGUUCUUGAAGCGGGGUCUCAGUGUAGCCCUGCUGGCCUCCAGCCCCAUCCCUCUGCCUCCGUCUCCAAGUGCUUGAGUGAUUACGGGCCUGGGCCACCAUGCCGACCCUUCCCCACCUCUUCUGAUAGUUGACUUGAUUUUCCCUGGUUUGUUUUUCAUUUUUGUUUCUGUGUUUUUGUACUGACAAUUGAACUCGGCCCAGCACCUUUACACUAAGGUAUAUUCCCAGCUGUAAAAAAUUGUUUUUUAACUUUCAUCUUGAGACAGUCUCACUGGGCAGCUAAGUUACGAAGAAGGCCGUGCUGGGAUUUACAGUCCUCUUGCCUCAGCCUCCUACAGCGCCGAGAUGACGGAUGUGCACCAUCACACCCGGCUGAGUUUCCCUUUCGUAGUCGCCUCUCAGCAGAGCUCACUGCAGUGGGAGCCGCUGUCAGGAAGCGAGACCCGGAGGCCGCUGCUGGGCCCAGCAGUGUGGGCUUUGCUGCCUGUGCGGACCUCUCUGCCGAGAAUGGAAGCCUGUGGGGAUGUGGGGCAACGGAAAGGCCGCCCAGGACGUGGCGGGGUCAUUGGCUGGGCGGUGCAGUUUGAAGCCCCUGUGAGACCCGGACCUGGGACUCCCCCACUGCUCUGAGAGAGUUGCAGUGGCCUGUGGGGAACCCUCUUCCCCCCUGAAUGCUGGGCUCGGGGAGAAGCUCUCAGGGGAGGUCUUCAGACCUAGGUCACCAAGGGUUUCAGGGACAGAUUGAACCCAGCCUGGCAGAGUGCAGCGUUUUCCUCCCUUCGCCUCUGUCCCUGCCCUGGGCUGGGGGUUGUGGCACAACAGCUCAGGAGCAGGAGGUGGGAGUCGGAAUCGGAAGUGUCACUCGCAGCAAAGGGGAACUGAGCCAGGCCGGGCAGAGGCCUCUGGAUAGCCAGGCCUGCGCAACAGGGGAUUUAGUCGGUUAGAUUUUGGCUUUCCCUACUCACAGGCGAGGGCAAUUGCAGAGAUAUUCCAGUGCAGAAAGUAGCUGGCAUCUGUUUGGUUCUGGG